UGGGAGCCUCAGACAGCGCUCUGGGGAUUUGUCUGCAUGCAGGUGGCCUGGGAGCCAGAUUUCCCUGUGUCUUUGGCUCUGUUUUCCCUACAGGCAGAUCCUGAGACAAGGAUCUGGCUGCAGGUCAUCGAUGUGGGAGGUGAUUGCAGGUUGCGCAGAAAAGGAAUGAAAAAGUGACCAAACAAGGGAGAGGACCUGUAUGAGGAAUUUUGCUACAGUAGUAGAAAAUGAGUGGACACAGGCAUCUUCCCAGGAGGACAGUGGCUCAUGGCAGUCUGUGAGGCCAUGUAGGAUGAAACCAAAAUCAACUCUGUUCCAGGGUGCGUUUCUAGAACUGGAACACAAACCUGUGUUGGGAAGUACGUGGAGAAGUCUGUCCGGGAAGAUUCAGUGUCUGUGAGAUGGCAAAGAAAGGUCACCGCAUUUGUUUGCCACCCCGAGGGGAAAGCAGGACUGUGCACAAAGGUCCUACUGAAAAAAAUAUUUAAAUAAAGUAGAAAGAU
Heterocephalus glaber (naked mole-rat) is the source of this 503-nucleotide long non-coding RNA. RefSeq lists it as uncharacterized. NCBI's taxonomy places the organism in Eukaryota, Metazoa, Chordata, Mammalia, Rodentia, Bathyergidae. The record is from RefSeq and is a predicted model, not a curated record.